CACGUAAAUACGUAACGUCAUUAUGUGGCGCACUUGAGCACUGUUCGCGUGACGACGAGUUGCGUCGUUUAGUUUAACGAGUGUUAUUACAGCUCGGGCUCAAAGAAAGAAUGCCACCAGCCAGGAAAGACCAUAUUAUCUACAAAGUGUAUGAUGUCAUUGAUGCCAUCCAGAAUGGGAACAGUGAUUUUGAAAAGGAACCUGAUACUAGUGAUGAAGAGGAAUGUGGAGAUGCAUCAAGUCAUUCAAGAACACAGACCAUGCCCCAUGACAGCUCUGGACCAAGGAGACGUCCGUGCAGAUUCAGGGUGUUUUUCCUGCGACUGAGUCUUUGGGUCUGGCAUCACAGUGUCCGUUCUUUCUUUCAACACCUUGGGCCCCGCCGUGCUUGGAAUGUGUUUAUACUCAAUCUGUGGGUAGUCAGGAGGAGAGAAAGACUGUGCUGGAGGCAGCUCUCUUGAGGAGAUCGACCUUGUCUUCAAUAUGACGGCAGAUGUCAUUUUAGUUGACUCCAGGUUGGAGUCUCUUCUGAAACUGGAUAAAAUCCUGGACAGUCUUGGUGUUGAUUUUUGGUAAAGGAACACCCACUUUGCUCAGAACCGGA
This is a long non-coding RNA of Megalobrama amblycephala (Wuchang bream), 604 nucleotides long. RefSeq lists it as uncharacterized. The record is from RefSeq and is a predicted model, not a curated record. NCBI's taxonomy places the organism in Eukaryota, Metazoa, Chordata, Actinopteri, Cypriniformes, Xenocyprididae. The transcript is spliced from 3 exons.